GCGCAAUUGGAAAAAGUAAGUAUCCUACAGUCCAACAGUCAAUUACAGACUUAAGAAGUCAAUGUAAUAAGCAAAAUAAUAGCAAAGAAAAAAGUCCCUUUAAAUGACACAUUGCGCAAAUUGCGCAAGAAAAAGGUGAGACUGGAGCCCGAGAGCAUGACGUCAAAGAAAUUAUAGCCAAUCAGGAGUCAGUUUUAGAAACCUCCUUUGAAUCUUUUUACGUGACCAAGGCGUGGGUGGAGGGUGGAGCUCAGGGGCUCUUUGUCGAGAGCACAUUGGAUGAACCCCAGAGAAAAGGGUACGUGGGGUGCAGCAGGGCAGGAACAGGGGAGGAACAGGGGCGGAGCCAUGAGCUGGUGGGCGGAGCCUGGUGGAAAAGUUGCCGUUUCCUCAUCGAAUCGCAAUGCCGUUGCCAACGGUGUUGAUAAACGUGAAAGCAACUUAGUGGAGCUUCUGCGCUGCGGAUCUGCGGUCCCGGGUCCGAAAGAGUCGCGUCUGAGAUACUCCUACUGUCACCGACAGACCAUGGGUGAAGGUUUCCAGCUGAAACUCCUUGACACUGUGCCAUAAAACCAGAGCACCAACACCGACGUCUCCGCAAGGAGGGAUGUUCUUCCGGAAGCCAACAUGAAGACAGAAAAUCCACAGUGGGAUGCGCUGGAAGGAUGACUUUAAAAUAUUCUUUGUAUUUUCUCUCUCUUAUUUAUGUGGCGACUGGCAUUGGAGUCGCACAAGAAGAAGAGAACGAGGAAUUUGAAAUCCGCAAAGACCUCCUUCCAGUCGACCAGCCGGUCAUCACUGUUUCGCAGAAUCAGUCUGGUUCCCUCGUUGUUCAGCUAAAGGGCGACAUGAAGCUUAAAAAAGAAUAUGCCGACCAUCAUAAAUAUAGGAUCUUCUACAAGAAAGACAACGGGGAAUUCAAGCUUUAUGAUGACGUCUUGACCAAAAAUACUCAUGUGGUCAUGAAAAACCUGCAGGCAGGUGUGAAGUAUUGCUUUCAGAUGCGCUACAUUGUUUACCACAAGUCCAUCAAGGACGUCAAUGACAGCACCGUGGAGUGCGCCGUCAUCACAGAGAAACAGGAGAGCAGGAUGAACAGGAUCCUCUGGGUGUUAACGAUCACUGGGGUCCUGGGCGUUCUGCUGGUCGCUUGCUGCAUGUGGGUGGUCCUCAAGAACUAUUCGAAGGUGAAGCGAGCCCUUCGCCCCCCGCUAGACGUGCCGGAUCACAUCCGCGAGUUCCUCAGCGAGGAGGAGUUGCCCAAAGACUGGCUGAAAUCCAACUCCGGCCCUGACUCAGAAAACACCUGCGACAGCAUCUCGGUGAUGACCAGCGACAAUUCCAAUUGCACAUCGGGCAGCUCGUCUCCCAGGACACACUUUUACCUGGGAAGAACCACUACGUGUUAACUGCCUAAAAUGUCCUUCUGCUUCCAUUUGGAGAACAGCCAAGCCCCAGCCAAUGAGCGCCUCUAGUCGCAUCGAGUCCCAUUGGCGUCACUUAUCCCCUCAAUGAGGAACUGUAUGAACAAUGUGCCAGUCAUUGCUCCCAGAUGGGGUAAAAGGUCACAUUUGGACUGCAGUUACGAACUGCUCUAACGUGGGGCCUCCAAUCCUGAUCCUUUACGAAGACCUACUGAAGAGCAGCUGGUUAAGGAAAACUUUAGGGUCUCCGAAGGCUUUGUGACCACCCAUCUAGGGCCUCAGCUACUGGAGACCUUUUUAUACAGCUUCAUAAGCUCACAUUAAGUAUGAAGUUCUGUCACCUCAUGAAAUGGAUCUACUGCAUUCUCACCCAUGAACCCUACCUGAGCACAUUGAAGGAAGGACUUGAAAUGCUGUGGAGCUGGGAAACAAGCACUCCCACAUCGUUUAAGUUUUAUAAACCUCUAUGUUCUUGUGAACAAGAUGAGAAUGGACCUGAAGAGGGUGAAGGAUGUGCUCUUUUUCUUCUCCUGAUCAUUUGCCACAUCAAGCAGGAAGGGUCAGGGUGGGGGGCUGAAGGGUUAAAUUUAAAAUUUUGCUAAUCACUAGUUUAGCCCUGUGAUUGACUGGCAUCUCAUCCAGGAUGUACACAUGUCCCCUCACACCCCAUGACAGACUCUGGAUCACUGUGACUCUGCAUGAGGAAGCAGUUAUUGAUGAUGGAUAUUUCUAGUUUUUUUUUGCUACCACAAGAACCUUUGUAAAAGUCAGUAUUUUCCCACUUUAAACCUGGUAAAUCAUGUCCACUGGAGCAAGAUGUCCAAUUCAACCAGCUCAGUGCACUUUAAGCGUAAUUUUGCUCAAUAAAACAUGAAGGUUCACACUAUUUACCUGAGUU
Molecule: long non-coding RNA, 2322 nt
Organism: Scleropages formosus (Asian bonytongue)
Lineage: Eukaryota; Metazoa; Chordata; Actinopteri; Osteoglossiformes; Osteoglossidae
Source: Ensembl